Regulatory RNA element from Flavobacterium sp. KMS, 100 nucleotides. It matches the Rfam family "SAM riboswitch aptamer (S box leader)". From Rfam's summary of the family: The SAM riboswitch is found upstream of a number of genes which code for proteins involved in methionine or cysteine biosynthesis in Gram-positive bacteria. The SAM riboswitch acts at the level of transcription termination control. The predicted structure consists of a complex stem-loop region followed by a single stem loop terminator region. The record is from Rfam. NCBI's taxonomy places the organism in Bacteria, Pseudomonadati, Bacteroidota, Flavobacteriia, Flavobacteriales, Flavobacteriaceae.
UACUUAUCCAGAAAGACUGAGGGAUUAGGCCCUGUGACGUCUUAGCAACCUGUUGCUUAAUAAGGUGCUAAAUCCUACCGUUGUAAUGGACAGAUAAGAA